This 213-nucleotide long non-coding RNA is filed under the name Citrus maxima (pomelo). Its description in RNAcentral is "long non-coding RNA (CMAX_LNC004375)". Lineage: Eukaryota; Viridiplantae; Streptophyta; Magnoliopsida; Sapindales; Rutaceae. The record is from RNAcentral.
AAAUCCUUGGACAAUGAGCAUUCCUUUUAACAUAUUUGUUGAAAAUCUUGCUUUAACAAAAAUUCUUCUCUUUGAAACAUUAAAGUAAAAAUAUCUCAAAUGCUAAUGUGAUGUAAUCCAGAUGAGAAUACUAGUCUGCGUCUUCUUUCUUUGAGUUGGAUAGGGUCAGUGUUCACAAGCCUACAAGCAUGGCAUUAAGGUUGAUAGAAUGGG